UGCCGCGUGAGUGAUGAAGGCCUUAGGGUUGUAAAGCUCUUUUGUCAGGGAAGAUGAUGACGGUACCUGAAGAAUAAGCACCGGCUAACUUCGUGCCAGCAGCCGCGGUAAUACGAAGGGUGCUAGCGUUGUUCGGAAUCACUGGGCGUAAAGCGCGCGUAGGCGGCGAUUCAAGUCAGGGGUGAAAUGCCAAGGCUUAACCUUGGAACUGCCUUUGAAACUGUAUCGCUGGAGUAUUGGAGGGGAUAGCGGAAUUCCUAAUGUAGCGGUGAAAUGCGUAGAUAUUAGGAGGAACACCGGUGGCGAAGGCGGCUAUCUGGACAAUUACUGACGCUGAGGCGCGAAAGCGUGGGGAUCAAACAGGAUUAGAUACCCUGGUAGUCCACGCUGUAAACGAUGGAUGCUAGCCGUCGGGGGGUUACCUUCCGGUGGCGCAGCUAACGCGUUAAGCAUCCCGCCUGGGGAGUACGGUCGCAAGAUUAAAACUCAAAGGAAUUGACGGGGACCCGCACAAGCGGUGGAACAUGUGGUUUAAUUCGAGGCAACGCGAAGAACCUUACCAGGCCUUGACAUGCCCUCUUUGGGGAUCAGAAAUGAACCCCUUCACCUCGGGUGGGAGGAGC
This 623-nucleotide ribosomal RNA is filed under the name uncultured bacterium. RNAcentral's name for it is "bacterial SSU rRNA". It matches the Rfam family "Bacterial small subunit ribosomal RNA", at positions 395 to 1033 of the family's 1533-position model. The record is from RNAcentral.